AGUGAACGCUGGCGGUAGGCCUAACACAUGCAAGUCGAACGGCAGCACAGUAAGAGCUUGCUCUUACGGGUGGCGAGUGGCGGACGGGUGAGGAAUACAUCGGAAUCUACUUUUUCGUGGGGGAUAACGCAGGGAAACUUACGCUAAUACCGCAUACGACCUACGGGUGAAAGCAGGGGAUCUUCGGACCUUGCGCGUAUGAAUGAGCUGAUGUCGGAUUAGCUAGUUGGCGGGGUAAAGCCCCACCAAGGCGACGACCCGUAGCUGGUCUGUGAGGAUGAUCGGCCACACUGGAACUGAGACACGGUCCAGACUCCUACGGGAGGCAGCAGUCGGGAAUAUUCGACAAUGGGCGCAAGCCUGAUCCAGCCAUACCGCGUGGGUGAAGAAGGCCUUCGGGUUGUAAAGCCCUUUUGUUGGGAAAGAAAAGCAGCAGGUUAAUCCCCCGCUGUUCUGACGGUACCCAAAGAAUAAGCACCGGCUAACUUCGUG
RNAcentral lists this ribosomal RNA (492 nucleotides) under uncultured bacterium. Its description in RNAcentral is "partial 16S ribosomal RNA". It matches the Rfam family "Bacterial small subunit ribosomal RNA", at positions 29 to 507 of the family's 1533-position model. The record is from RNAcentral.